GUAGGAGAAGAAGUUUGUGUGGUGGUUAUGUAAGCUGUAUUGGGAGUUGGAUGGGGAAGUCUCUUAGGCAGUGGUAACCCUAGCUGAGCCCAUCCACAUUCCUUGGAAAUUUUCCAGAGACAUCACUGUGGAAGUGAGGUAACCUCAGCUCAGCACUACCAUCAUCUGGAUGAACUUCAAAACCCCAUAUAGAACUCGGACAUGGAGGCACACACGGAGGGAAUGAGGUUAGGCAGAAAUUUUUUUAAAGGAAGAAAACAUGAAGCAAAUCAUCCUAAUGUAGUAUAUCCAAAUAGAUGGAGGGAACUUGAAAAUCCAGGAUAUAACAUGCUAACUUGCC
Molecule: long non-coding RNA, 340 nt
Organism: Gavialis gangeticus (Gharial)
Lineage: Eukaryota; Metazoa; Chordata; Crocodylia; Gavialidae
Exons: 3
Source: RefSeq, a predicted model, not a curated record